Passer domesticus (house sparrow) is the source of this 586-nucleotide long non-coding RNA. RefSeq lists it as uncharacterized. Lineage: Eukaryota; Metazoa; Chordata; Aves; Passeriformes; Passeridae. The record is from RefSeq and is a predicted model, not a curated record. The transcript has 3 exons.
CUGGAGCACCAUCCCCUCACACGUACCCAUUCCAGCCAGAACUCUGUUCCUCUGAGGAGAGCCUGUGCACCACGAGGGCUGUCCUGAGAAGAGACCUCCAUUUCCCAGUGAAUGGUGAGAUUGCCUCCAAGACCUCUGCAUCACUUCACAGCUCAGCUCUCAGUGACUCACAAUUUUCUGGAGCCCACAUCUCACACUGGCAGGAAAUUAUUCAGGUGUGGAGGCACAACAGCUCAGAGACACCAAAUGGCAUCUACAAGAACUCAAGCACUGACAGGACACAUCAAAGCACGAGAUUGAAGGCCAGUGCCUGCCAGCCCCUUGAUCCCUCCAGAGCUUGAAGAACGGAAUCCAGACUCUUUCAGCUUUUUCUAUGCAGCCAUGGGCUUGCUCUCUUUUCCCUUUCAAGGUAUUAUGAGUUUUAAAAAAAAAAAUUACCUGUGGGAGAAAUUUCAAGAGAAACCAGAUACUGAGCAGCAUCCCAGCACAGAAUGACUCCAAAUAGGAAGUUCCGUUCUCAGCUGCAGAAAGUAGGACCCGGUGGAAAGCAGCAGGAUUUCAGACAGGUCUGGAGCCCCCACCCUCC